UACGUAGGGGGCUAGCGUUGUCCGGAAUCAUUGGGCGUAAAGAGCGCGUAGGCGGCCAGACAAGUCUGGUGUGAAAGUCACAGGCUCAACCUGUGAAUGCCGCUGGAAACUGUCUGGCUAGAGUCCGGAAGGGGCGAGUGGAAUUCCCGGUGUAGCGGUGAAAUGCGCAGAUAUCAGGAGGAACACCUAUGGCGAAGGCAGCUCGCUGGGACGGUACUGACGCUGAGGCGCGAAAGCAUGGGGAGCGAACAGG
This 253-nucleotide ribosomal RNA is filed under the name uncultured bacterium. RNAcentral describes it as "partial 16S ribosomal RNA". It matches the Rfam family "Bacterial small subunit ribosomal RNA", at positions 524 to 776 of the family's 1533-position model. The record is from RNAcentral.